Molecule: ribosomal RNA, 273 nt
Filed under: uncultured bacterium
Lineage: Bacteria
Description: partial 16S ribosomal RNA
Rfam family: Bacterial small subunit ribosomal RNA
Source: RNAcentral
AUACGGAGGGUGCAAGCGUUAUUCGGAAUCACUGGGCGUAAGGACGCGUAGGCGGGUUGGCAAGUCAGAUGUGAAAUCCUACAGCUUAACUGUAGAACUGCAUUUGAAACUGCUAACCUAGAGUAUGGGAGGGGGAGAUGGAAUUAGUGGUGUAGGGGUAAAAUCCGUAGAUAUCACUAGGAAUACCGAGAGCGAAGGCGAUCUCCUGGAACAUAACUGACGCUAAGGCGUGAAAGCGUGGGGAGCAAACAGGAUUAGAAACCCUAGUAGUCC